Molecule: ribosomal RNA, 231 nt
Filed under: uncultured bacterium
Lineage: Bacteria
Description: partial 16S ribosomal RNA
Rfam family: Bacterial small subunit ribosomal RNA
Source: RNAcentral
UGAGUAACCUGCCCUUAACUCUGGGAUAAGCCUGGGAAACUGGGUCUAAUACCGGAUAUGGCCUCCUGUCUCAUGGCGGGUGGUGGAAAGUUUUUCGGUGGGGGAUGGACUCGCGGCCUAUCAGCUUGUUGGUGAGGUAAUGGCUUACCAAGGCGACGACGGGUAGCCGGCCUGAGAGGGCGACCGGCCACACUGGGACUGAGACACGGCCCAGACUCCUACGGGAGGCAG